Molecule: ribosomal RNA, 119 nt
Filed under: Beta vulgaris subsp. vulgaris (sugar beet)
Lineage: Eukaryota; Viridiplantae; Streptophyta; Magnoliopsida; Caryophyllales; Amaranthaceae
Source: RNAcentral
GGGUGCGAUCAUACCAGCUCUAAUGCACCGGAUCCCAUCAGAACUCCGCAGUUAAGCGUGCUUGGGCGAGAGUAGUACUAGGAUGGGUGACAUCUUGGGAAGUACUCGUUUUGCACCCC